Molecule: ribosomal RNA, 495 nt
Filed under: uncultured bacterium
Lineage: Bacteria
Description: partial 16S ribosomal RNA
Rfam family: Bacterial small subunit ribosomal RNA
Source: RNAcentral
GACGAACGCUGGCGGCGUGCCUAAUACAUGCAAGUAGAACGCUGAAGGAGGAGCUUGCUUCUCUGGAUGAGUUGCGAACGGGUGAGUAACGCGUAGGUAACCUGCCUGGUAGCGGGGGAUAACUAUUGGAAACGAUAGCUAAUACCGCAUAAUAGUAGAUGUCGCAUGACAUUUGCUUAAAAGGUGCAAUUGCAUCACUACCAGAUGGACCUGCGUUGUAUUAGCUAGUUGGUGAGGUAACGGCGCACCAAGGCAACGAUACAUAGCGGACCGGAGAUGGGGGUCGGCCACACUGGGACGGAGACACGGCCCAUACUCCUACGGGAGGCGGCAGUAGGGAAUCGUCGGCAAUGGACGGAAGUCUGACCGAGCAACGCCGCAUGAGUGAAGAAGGAUGUCGGAUCGUAAAGCUCGGUUGUAAGAGAAGAACGAGUGUGAGAGUGGAAAGUUCACACUGUGACGGUAUCUUACCAGAAAGGGACGGCUAACUACGUG